Non-coding RNA from Naganishia onofrii, 102 nucleotides. The record is from the annotation of a GenBank genome assembly. Lineage: Eukaryota; Fungi; Basidiomycota; Tremellomycetes; Filobasidiales; Filobasidiaceae.
GGUGACGUAGGAAAGUGGUCUAAUCCGCCAGUUUAAGGUCGAUCUACAUCGUCGUUAAAUCACUGGUCCUCCGGGGCGUGAGUUCGAAUCUCACCGUCAUCA